UUUUUUUUAAGAGUUUGAUCCUAGCUCAGGAUGAACGCUGGCGGCGUGGAUAAGGCAUGCAAGUCGAAUGCAUUUAGUUGCAUGGCAGACGAGGUAGUAACACGUAGGAAUGUACCCCAAAGUUGGGAAUAACCCAUCGAAAGAUGGAAUAAUGCCCAAUAGUCUCUCAGGAGUAAAGAUUUAUCGCUUUGGGAACAGCCUGCGGAAUAUCAGCUUGUUGGUAAGGUAAUGGCUUACCAAGGCUAUGACGUUUAGGGGAGGUGAGAGCCUGACCCCCACCGAUGGUACUGAGACACGGACCAUACACCUACGGGUGGCCGCAGUCGAGAAUCUUCCGCAAUGGGCGAAAGCCUGACGGAGCGACGCCGCGUGAUUGAUGAAGUUCUUAGGAAUGUAAAGAUCUUUUAUAGAGGAGGAAAUUUUUGACGUUACUCUAUGAAUAAGGGGCUCCUAAUCUCGUGCCAGCAGGAGCGGUAAUACGAGAGCCCCGAGCGUUAUCCGGAAUCACUGGGCGUAAAGGGUGUGUAGGUGGUAGUGUUAGUCUUUUGUUAAAUCCUCGGGCCCAACCUGAGAACCGCAAAAGAAACGGCACUACUAGAGAAUGUGAGGGGUGUACGGAACUCAUGGUGUAGGGGUGAAAUCCGUUGAUAUCAUGGGGAACACCAAAAGCGAAGGCAGUACACUGGCACAUUUCUGACACUGAGACACGAAAGCGUGGGUAGCGAAUGGGAUUAGAUACCCCAGUAGUCCACGCCCUAAACGAUGUUCUCUAAUCUUUCGGAGUAUCGACCCUCUGAGAGGUGUAGCUAACGCGUUAAGAGAACCGCCUGGGAAGUACGAUCGCAAGAUUAAAACUCAAAGGAAUAGACGGGGACUUGCACAAGCAGUGGAUUAUGUGGUUUAAUUCGACGAUAAACGAAGAACCUUACCAAGGCUAGAAAUCUAGACGAAAGCCCUGAGAAACCAGGGCCCUUUUCGAACGGCUAGACAGGUGAUGCAUGGCCGUCGUCAGUUCGUGAUUUGAAUUGUUCCCUUAAGUGGGGUAACGAACGCAACCCUCGUCGUCUGUUAUACGUGUCAGACGAGACUGCUCAGCCUUUUGUUCAUAAACAAAUAUUGUUUGUGGCUAAAAGGCUGAGAGGAAGGAGAGGAUGACGCCAGGUCAGCAUGUCCCUUGAUGCCUUGGGCUACACACAUAAUACAAUGGUCACUACAACGGGUCGCGACGUGGUAACACUGAGCCAAUCCUAAUAAAGGUGACCCCAGUUCGGAUUGAGGUCUGAAACUCGACCUCAUGAAGUCGGAAUUGCUAGUAAUCGCGGGUCAGCUAAACCGCGGUGAAUACGUUCUCAAGUCUUGUACUCACCGCCCGUCAAUUCAAGGGAUCCGGGAGUGCCCGAAGUCUCUACAUUCGUAGGGCCUACGGUAAGCUCGGUAACAGGGAAUAAGUCGUAACAAGGCACGGCUAGCGGAAGCUG
Molecule: ribosomal RNA, 1478 nt
Filed under: Candidatus Wolfebacteria bacterium
Lineage: Bacteria; Candidatus Wolfeibacteriota
Description: bacterial SSU rRNA
Rfam family: Bacterial small subunit ribosomal RNA
Source: RNAcentral